Podarcis muralis (Common wall lizard) is the source of this 586-nucleotide non-coding RNA. Lineage: Eukaryota; Metazoa; Chordata; Lepidosauria; Squamata; Lacertidae. The record is from RefSeq and is a predicted model, not a curated record.
UACCUGAGGCAGUUUAGGAUGCUAGGAUCUAACAUCUGGUAUGGGAGCCAAGGGAGAUUCCCAGACAGGAUAGCAAAAACAGACUUGUGCAUCAAUAGUAACAUAGGUAUCACCUGCCUGCCUUGUACAUUCAAUCUGACAAGGGCAAGUACACCAGGCAAGCAAGAGUCAUGGUCAGAGUUCAAGGACACGUGAAAACACUCAAGGAAAAUGCAGAGCAGGGUCUGUAACAAGUGCGGCUGGAGAGGGUGAAUGUUCCAAGGGCUAGGCAUAAAGUCUUGAAGAGCCACUCUGCUGGGGUUGUCCAACCCCUGGUAACAAGAAGGGUUAGCGUUAUGAAGAUUUCCCCCCUUCAGUAGAAGAGUGCUUGGGUUUUCCACAGUGUUCUCACAACUGAUCUUAAACACUCCAUCCAUUUCCACAUCCAGAAUGGUCCUGAUUCCCAAAUCUCUCACCCAUUUCCCCCGCCAACCAAUACACUUCUUCACAUCAAGCUACUGUUUGGAUGUUUUGGAGCACUCUGAAUUCUACCUCAGGAAACAAUAUCCUAAGCAAUUUGGGACCGAAAAGGAUUGCUGUCAACAAG